GCUCCAUCAUAGCUCUCAGAGGUAACCAACCCUACCAACACAUUGGUUUCAGACUUCCAGCACCAAGAACGGAAGAAAAAUAAUCAUUAUUGAGUGUAAUUGAAGAAAUACUACUCUUAGAAGAAAAACACAACAAAAAAGCAUCAUAACCAGGGACAUUGAUGAAGCUGGAAACCAUCAUUCUUAUCAAACUGAACCUAAGGUAGAUGACAGGGUGAAGG
RNAcentral lists this long non-coding RNA (221 nucleotides) under Callithrix jacchus (white-tufted-ear marmoset). RNAcentral's name for it is "lncRNA (ENSCJAG00000073797.1)". Lineage: Eukaryota; Metazoa; Chordata; Mammalia; Primates; Cebidae. The record is from RNAcentral.